ACUCCUACGGGAGGCAGCAGUGGGGAAUUUUGGACAAUGGGCGAAAGCCUGAUCCAGCAAUGCCGCGUGAGUGAAGAAGGCCUUCGGGUUGUAAAGCUCUUUUGUCAGGGAAGAAACGGUGAAAGCUAAUAUCUUUUGCUAAUGACGGUACCUGAAGAAUAAGCACCGGCUAACUACGUGCCAGCAGCCGCGGUAAUACGUAGGGUGCAAGCGUUAAUCGGAAUUACUGGGCGUAAAGCGUGCGCAGGCGGUUUUGUAAGUCUGAUGUGAAAUCCCCGGGCUCAACCUGGGAAUUGCAUUGGAGACUGCAAGGCUAGAAUCUGGCAGAGGGGGGUAGAAUUCCACGUGUAGCAGUGAAAUGCGUAGAUAUGUGGAGGAACACCGAUGGCGAAGGCAGCCCCCUGGGUCAAGAUUGACGCUCAUGCACGAAAGCGUGGGGAGCAAACAGGAUUAGAAACCCUAGUAGUCCCA
RNAcentral lists this ribosomal RNA (471 nucleotides) under uncultured organism. Its description in RNAcentral is "partial 16S ribosomal RNA". It matches the Rfam family "Bacterial small subunit ribosomal RNA", at positions 335 to 797 of the family's 1533-position model. The record is from RNAcentral.